This is a small nucleolar RNA of 127 nucleotides. Its record names the gene SNORA63. It matches the Rfam family "Small nucleolar RNA SNORA63". Rfam says of the family: E3 belongs to the H/ACA class of snoRNAs and is involved in the processing of eukaryotic pre-rRNA and has regions of complementarity to 18S rRNA. The record is from Ensembl.
UAGCAGGAUAUCUACUGUGCAGCUUGUGUGGUGCUGCAUUGUCGUUCCCCCUGCUGAAAGUAACAUGUUUCCAGCUAUCCCUGUCUGUCUAGAUCCCCGACAGUUAGGGACGCAAGGUCUCAGACAC